CUGCGCUCGAUUAAAUAGAUUAAUUGAGAUUAAAUAACGUGCAGUUUCUUAUGUGUUUUAUCUUUCAAAGCACGUUGUUGCGGAGUGCCUGAGCUUUUUCCUCGCGUUACUGAGGAAAAGAAUGGCUGUGCAUCUUCCCCCCUCAUCCCUCUCUUUUUCUUUUUUCCCUCCUCCCUCGAUGACAGGGACUCAAAAUGCUUAACCAGAUGUCCGUGUGAAAAUUAAAAACAAUGCUGAUGGUGAACACUGACAGGAUUGGGUGACAUUUUCAAGGUAGAGGGCAAAGAACGUGGAAAUUUCUAGUAUUUACUGUUACUCUGUUAACAAAACUGAUGUACACGCCGCUUGCUGUUUCUAGUUUUUAGGUUUGGCUUUCCUUUCAGUAGUCUCCCCAAAGGCUUUUGUGGGCACGAUGUGUAUCUUUCCUGACAAAUGAAUUGUGGAAAAACAGAAAAGACGACCAUGGAAUCUGAGGGCUGUGGACAACCAUCUACCAGAUGGUUGUUGCGGACGCCUUCGGUCAUGUUAUUUGUUCUUUUAGCUCGCCCUUUCCUUUAUCUUGAGUUGAUUAUUAUUUUUUUUUGCAGCGCUGUGUUUGCAGUGAUAACAUUGCUGCCGAGGUGUAUUUGACUAAAAAUGAUCUUAACUGUAGGUACUGAAUUCACAGUGUGGCUUUGUGUAAUGACUCCCAUGAUCACAACUUUUUUUUUUCCUUUGUCACAGAUAGGAGAAAAGCUCUUUUCAGAGAGAUGGAGAAGGAAUUUAUACCUUUGCCUCAUCCCGUGAGACCAGAAGACAUGGAGUAACUAAUUGUAAGCUGCGAUUCUCAGGAGUCGCAAGGCUAAGAGUCUCAGGUUCCUGCUCUGCCUUCCCUGCAAGGCCUUAGCCUUAAAUAAACCUUAGGAGGAACCGGUCCAAGGAAAGAGCGCCUUCUGGAACUGUCGAGCCUUCAUUUGGCAGCUCGGUGACUGGCUUGGUCUACUCGUGAGGUGCUAAGGGAAGAUGUCUGCUGUUCCAAAACGAUACCAAUAAAAACUGGGGUCCCUUGUGUCGUUGAGGGGUGGGUGCUAA
This is a long non-coding RNA of Oxyura jamaicensis (ruddy duck), 1071 nucleotides long. RefSeq lists it as uncharacterized. The transcript has 2 exons. The record is from RefSeq and is a predicted model, not a curated record. NCBI's taxonomy places the organism in Eukaryota, Metazoa, Chordata, Aves, Anseriformes, Anatidae.